AUUGAACGCUGGCGGCAGGCCUAACACAUGCAAGUCGAGCGAGCGGCGGACGGGUGAGUAAUGUAUGGGGACUGCCCGAUAGAAGGGGAUAACUACUGGAAACGGUGGCUAAUACCGCAUACUUUCGGAUCCCCCCUAUGGGCUUCGCUAGUAGGUAAGGUAAUGGCUUACCUAGGCGACGAACCCUAGCUGGUCUGAGAGGAUGAUCAGCAACACUGGGACUGAGACACGGCCCAGACUCCUACGGAGGCAGCAGUGGGGAAUAUUGCACAAUGGGCGCAAGCCUGAUGCAGCCAUGCCGCGUGUAUGAAGAAGGCCCUAGGGUUGUAAAGUACUUUCAGUCGGGAGGCGUUACCGACAGAAGAAGCACCGGCUAACUCCGUACCAGCAGCCGCGGUAAUAC
Molecule: ribosomal RNA, 403 nt
Filed under: uncultured bacterium
Lineage: Bacteria
Description: partial 16S ribosomal RNA
Rfam family: Bacterial small subunit ribosomal RNA
Source: RNAcentral